GCCACCUUUGCUUAAAGUUUUUGGUUAUUCUUGAAUAAAACUUUAAAUUCCUUUUGAAUGUUCUACCCUACCAUUUACCUUUUGUGUCACUAUACCCCACUCCCUCUAGCAUUAAACGGGGGCCCUCAAUCCUUCUGUUCUUGUGCGUCCAACUUGUCUGGUUACAAAUACGUGUCUGUUCGUCCACCCAUUGUACAGCGCUAUGGAACUUGUUGGCACUUUAUAAAUAAUAAUUGACACUGUCUAUUAACUCUAUGUAUGUUUGAUUAUUUAACCCGUAAUGUGUAGAUCAGAAAUCAUGAUCUGUGAAUGACAGAAUUAUC
Pelobates cultripes (western spadefoot toad) is the source of this 323-nucleotide non-coding RNA. The record is from the annotation of a GenBank genome assembly. NCBI's taxonomy places the organism in Eukaryota, Metazoa, Chordata, Amphibia, Anura, Pelobatidae.